UUUGUGUUAGCAUAUUAGUGCAUUAAAUUUAGACUUUAAUUAUAUUAUUUAUUUUGAAUAAUACACAAUA
This 70-nucleotide transfer RNA is filed under the name Bombus waltoni. RNAcentral's name for it is "tRNA-Leu". The record is from RNAcentral. Lineage: Eukaryota; Metazoa; Arthropoda; Insecta; Hymenoptera; Apidae.